UACGUAGGGGCAAGCGUUGUCCGGAAUUACUGGGCGUAAAGCGCACGCAGGCUGACUUAUAAGUCGGUAGUCUAAUGCGGAGGCUCAACUUCCGUUUAUCUAUCGAUACUGUAAGACUAGAGUAUGUGAGAGGGAAGUGGAAUUCCAUGUGUAGCGGUGAAAUGCGUAGAGAUAUGGAGGAACACCAGUGGCGAAGGCGGCUUCCUGGUCUGUAACUGACACUGAGGCGCGAAAGCGUGGGUAGCAAACAGGAUUAGAUA
RNAcentral lists this ribosomal RNA (260 nucleotides) under uncultured prokaryote. Its description in RNAcentral is "partial 16S ribosomal RNA". It matches the Rfam family "Bacterial small subunit ribosomal RNA", at positions 524 to 784 of the family's 1533-position model. The record is from RNAcentral.